GUAAAAGUGCGUGUAAUUUUUCGCUGCUCUUUUCUUAUUUUCUCUUCUUUUACGCAGAAGAAAGCCUCCUGGAAAUGGCCCUUAGCCACACCCCCAAGAACACACGCGGUCCUCAGGAUGUCCUCAAACUGUCAUCACGUCCUCGUCCGUGAUAGGAUGAACGGAGGAGGUCCACAGGCUGUCAUCAUAGGUGCUUCCAGUGAUUGUCAUUUGCGUACAUCCUGCGGUCGUCAACCGGAUGACAAGCACAGGAGAAGUGGACCUUGUCCAGAGGAGAUGGGUUGGACAUUUGUGGAAAAAAACUGUGUAGCCCUGAGACAAUAGGCUGACGUCACGACCAAUGAGCAAGGCCUGCAGGGGACCCAAGGAUUCACUUCUCUCUUGGACACUGACGGGUGUGGACGCAUUAAUUCUGUUCCUAGCAAUUGCGUUGGCCGUUAGUGGAAGAGCGUAGCUUCAGUGGGAUUCCGUUUGCCUCUGAUGGGGUGCGGAUGUGUGGUUCGUCUCUAGUGAAUGGUGGAUUUUGUGACGAGCGGAUUUACAAUGAGGGAAUGUAGUGUAUGUGCCCGAUGAUGAGCAGUCCUAACCUGCCCAGACAUGCCAUGAUGACAUCACAGCUGACGUCACAGGAUGUCCGGAAGUGGUAGUCGCAGCUGAAGAUGCUUUCCAACCCGCCUCUGUGCUCCGUCGGCCAGCGAUGGUCAGCGGCGGUUCCGGACCGCUUUCUUCAAGAUGGCCAUCGUUGAUCUUCAACUAAAGUCCUUCUCUCCGUUCUAUUUCUAUCUUUUUAGUUUAUUUGCUACCUAUUUUUUUUAUUUUGUAUCAGCUCAAGUAGCCCACAACUCACACAGUGGUCUGGACACGUUUUAGAUGCUGCCCAAUUAGUGUGAUGACUCACUGAAUGAUUCUAAUUACUGUGGGGGGUCCCAAACUGCUCUAACUGCUAAUUAAUGGCGUCCAGGCCUCUGUGUGAGUUGUGGGCUAGUUGAGCUGAUCAUAUACUACUAAUAUGGCCCUUUACUUUAGCGUCUGAAAAUCUUGUAAAGAUGUUGAGGCCCUUGGCAGGUCAUCUUUGCAAGGUGCUGUGCAAGCCUAGUGUAGCAGUCAGCUGACUGAAUUGGUUACCAAGAAGCACAGGGUCCAGUCUCGCAGUCGACUCCCUUGAUGGCUGACUAACUUUGUUGGAGAUGAGUGACCCAUGGGCCUUCCGAGAGGGUCAUAGAGAGAGACAUGAAAAGCCUACCUACGACUCAGCUCAUCUUGUGCCAUAAUGGCGUCUUUUAGUUGGCGGUGAAAACCUAAAUGAUGACUUACAACAACAACGGUUAGUAACGUGCUUCAUGCAAAUUUGAAGGGCACUGUAAUGGGGUGAGUAUCAAUAGGGUUCUUCGUCUUCGAGUUAAACCCGAUUUUUCACAAUAGUUCUCCCCGCCCCCGAACAAAUUUUCAAGGAUUCGUGUAAAACCCGAUAUCUACCCAAAAUCAUUGAGGUCCUUCAACUUGUCGUUCUUGAUAAACCGUCGGAAAAUACAGUCAAACUCCUUUACAACGAAACUCGGGGGACAACAAAAAAAAUUCGCAGUAAAGGUAUUUUCGUUAAAAAGGAUGUCCAUUAUUGGACCUAUAGGGCUCCAGCGGGACCGCAAAAAAUUUGCUGUAGUGGUAUUUUCGUUAAAAAGGUGUUCGCUAUAAAGGAGUUUGACUGUAUCAGCAAAGAGAGCUAUUUGUAACAACCUAUUUGUCCUCCGUUUAUGAUCUCUCCCGCAGGAGUCAAAGAUGAGCUCUUGUGGAGCUCGAGCAAGUGUUUGAAUAUUGUGAUCAUUCACUAUCACAGUUCCGACUGCAAAUAUAAAGCUUAUUGUUUCUCCUCCAGUGUCACAGCAGUGGCUUGUUUCAUAUGCCUUUCAUUUCACCUAAAAAUUCCCUGGUGACAUAUCGAACAGAGAUCAUAUUUCUCGCCCCUGGUUUCUCCCACAAUUCUCGUGUGUAAAUAGCACCCGAGUUUUCCCUCACGAAUUUGAAAAAUCAUAAAACCCGAAAACGAGUAACCCUAAGUAUCUAGAGACAAUGGGUUACAUGGGUUACAAUACAUGCAUUAAGGUAGGAGAGUACGUGCAUCGCUCGUCACAAAGAUAUUCUGCAGCAUAUGAGAGAGAUCUUAAACCUGACAGGCUGCUAACACUGGACAUCCUGAACAUAACCUGCUUCCUAGCGUUUUUUGACUGCUUCAUUUCAUAUAUUUUCCAGGCCUGCUUUCAACUGAUGGGCCCAACUGUCUAAAGUCUUGGUGUCUUUAUCAUGGUUUAUAUCAGUCAUCACCUCCACAACGCCUGGAUGGUGCUUGACCUGAGUUCAUCGACAAUUUUUUAUUGCUAACUGGCAUUAAAGUAGCACAGAAGUCAUUUUUAA
Molecule: long non-coding RNA, 2409 nt
Organism: Ornithodoros turicata
Lineage: Eukaryota; Metazoa; Arthropoda; Arachnida; Ixodida; Argasidae
Exons: 4
Source: RefSeq, a predicted model, not a curated record